AUCGCAAGACCUCACGCUUUUGGAGAAGCCUACGUCGGAUUAGCUAGUUGGUGAGGUAAUGGCUCACCAAGGCGACGAUCCGUAACUGGUCUGAGAGGAUGAUCAGUCACACCGGAACUGAGACACGGUCCGGACUCCUACGGGAGGCAGCAGUGGGGAAUAUUGGACAAUGGGCGCAAGCCUGAUCCAGCAAUGCCGCGUGUGUGAAGAAGGCCUUCGGGUUGUAAAGCACUUUAAGUUGGGAAGAAAAAACUCGCUCUAACACAGUGAGUCUUGACGGUACCGACAGAAUAAGCACCGGCUAACUCUGUGCCAGCAGCCGCGGUAAUACAGAGGGUGCAAGCGUUAAUCGGAUUUACUGGGCGUAAAGCGUGCGUAGGCGGUUUGUUAAGUCGGAUGUGAAAGCCCUGGGCUCAACCUGGGAAUUGCAUUCGAUACUGGCAGGCUAGAGAACGGUAGAGGGAGGCGGAACUCCAGGUGUAGCGGUGAAAUGCGUAGAUAUCUGGAAGAACACCGAUGGCGAAGGCAACCUC
This 533-nucleotide ribosomal RNA is filed under the name Nevskia sp. Its description in RNAcentral is "bacterial SSU rRNA". It matches the Rfam family "Bacterial small subunit ribosomal RNA", at positions 199 to 728 of the family's 1533-position model. Lineage: Bacteria; Pseudomonadati; Pseudomonadota; Gammaproteobacteria; Nevskiales; Nevskiaceae. The record is from RNAcentral.